AAGACUAUAGACCUGCGGAGUACCUGCGGAAGGAUCAUUACAUGGCGGAGAAGGUGGGCAGCCUGGCCAACAUCCAGGUUGUGAUGCCUUCACGCUCUUCCACCCUUGUCUAUUUGCACCUUCUGUCGUUCCCUCGGCGGGUUUCGACCCGCCGGCGGCAACAUUGAAAAACCCUUUUUGCAGUUAGCAUUCAAUUCUUCUGAUCAAAUAUUAAAUCAUUACAACUUUCAACAAUGGAUC
This 240-nucleotide unclassified non-coding RNA is filed under the name soil metagenome. Its description in RNAcentral is "partial contains 5.8S ribosomal RNA, internal transcribed spacer 2, and large subunit ribosomal RNA". The record is from RNAcentral.